Molecule: ribosomal RNA, 471 nt
Filed under: Barteria fistulosa
Lineage: Eukaryota; Viridiplantae; Streptophyta; Magnoliopsida; Malpighiales; Passifloraceae
Description: eukaryotic LSU rRNA
Rfam family: 5.8S ribosomal RNA (bases 157-312)
Source: RNAcentral
CGGCGGGCCUGUUCCGUCGCCCCGUUCCCCUUCCCCCACGAACAAAACCCCGGCGCACGAUGCGCCAAGGAAUCGCAACGAGAAAAGGAACGAGCACCCGUYGCGCRCCGGGAACGGAAUGCGCACGGGSGGCCUCGUAUUCUUUGAAAACAAAACGACUCUCGGCAACGGAUAUCUCGGCUCUCGCAUCGAUGAAGAACGUAGCGAAAUGCGAUACUUGGUGUGAAUUGCAGAAUCCCGUGAACCAUCGAGUCUUUGAACGCAAGUUGCGCCCGAAGCCUUCGGGCCGAGGGCACGUCUGCCUGGGUGUCAUGCACCGUCGCCCCCCAUCCCCACUCCCCCGAGGGGAGUCGGGAAGCCCGGGGCGGACAAUGGCCUCCCGUGCGCUCUCGCUCGCGGUUGGCCUAAAUCCGAGUUGUUGGCGGCGAGCGCCACGGCAAGCGGUGGUUGGAAAGACCCUCUGAAGUGUCG